GAGGGUAUAGCUCAACUGAUAGAGUGCCUGCUUAGCAUGCAAGAGGUCCUGGAUUCAAUCCCCAGUACCUCCA
Camelus ferus (Wild Bactrian camel) is the source of this 73-nucleotide transfer RNA. It matches the Rfam family "tRNA". Rfam says of the family: Transfer RNA (tRNA) molecules are approximately 80 nucleotides in length. Lineage: Eukaryota; Metazoa; Chordata; Mammalia; Artiodactyla; Camelidae. The record is from Rfam.